This 400-nucleotide ribosomal RNA is filed under the name uncultured bacterium. RNAcentral describes it as "bacterial SSU rRNA". It matches the Rfam family "Bacterial small subunit ribosomal RNA", at positions 359 to 775 of the family's 1533-position model. The record is from RNAcentral.
GAAUCUUGCGCAAUGGGCGAAAGCCUGACGCAGCAACGCCGCGUGGGGGAUGAAGGCCUUCGGGUUGUAAACCCCUUUCAGGAGGGAAGAAAUUGACGGUACCUCCAAAAGAAGGACCGGCCAACUACGUGCCAGCAGCCGCGGUAAUACGUAGGGUCCGAGCGUUAUCCGGAAUCAUUGGGCGUAAAGAGCUCGUAGGCGGUUCAGCAAGUCGGCUGUGAAAGUCUGAGGCUCAACCUCAGAAUUGCAGUCGAUACUGCUGUGACUCGAGUCCGGUAGAGGAGAAUGGAAUUCUCGGUGUAGCGGUGAAAUGCGCAGAUAUCGAGAGGAACACCAGUAGCGAAGGCGGUUCUCUGGGCCGGCACUGACGCUGAGGAGCGAAAGCGUGGGGAGCAAACAG